GAUGAAGAACGUAGCGAAAUGCGAUAAGUAAUGUGAAUUGCAGAAUUCCGAGAAUCAUCGAAUCUUUGAACGCACAUUGCGCCCCCUGGCAUUCCGGGGGGCAUGCCUGUCCGAGCGUCAUUUCUGCCCUCCAGCCCGGCUGGGUGUUGGGCGCUGUCCCCCCGGGGACACGCCCCAAAGGCAGUGGCGGCGCCGCGUCGGGUCCUCGAGCGUAUGGGGCUUUGUCACCCGCUCGGGACGGACUCGUCGGCGCUGGUCUUCCUCCAGGCGACCCUUCGGGGCUCGUCUUCCUUCGGUUGACCUCGGAUCAGGUAGGGUUACCCGCUGAACUUAAGCAUAUCAAUAAGCGGAGGA
Molecule: unclassified non-coding RNA, 354 nt
Filed under: soil metagenome
Description: partial contains 5.8S ribosomal RNA, internal transcribed spacer 2, and large subunit ribosomal RNA
Rfam family: 5.8S ribosomal RNA (bases 1-120)
Source: RNAcentral